GACGAACGCUGGCGGCGUGCUUAACACAUGCAAGUCGAACGGAAAGGCCCUGCUUUUGUGGGGUGCUCGAGUGGCGAACGGGUGAGUAACACGUGAGUAACCUGCCCUUGACUUUGGGAUAACUUCAGGAAACUGGGGCUAAUACCGGAUAGGAGCUCCUGCUGCAUGGUGGGGGUUGGAAAGUUUCGGCGGUUGGGGAUGGACUCGCGGCUUAUCAGCUUGUUGGUGGGGUAGUGGCUUACCAAGGCUUUGACGGGUAGCCGGCCUGGGAGGUGACCGGCCACAUUGGGACUGAGAUACGGCCCAGACUCCUACGGGAGGCAGCAGUGGGGAAUAUUGCACAAUGGGCGGAAGCCUGAUGCAGCAACGCCGCGUGCGGGAUGACGGCCUUCGGGUUGUAAACCGCUUUCGCCUGUGACGAAGCGUGAGUGACGGUAAUGGGUAAAGAAGCACCGGCUAACUACGUG
Molecule: ribosomal RNA, 467 nt
Filed under: uncultured bacterium
Lineage: Bacteria
Description: partial 16S ribosomal RNA
Rfam family: Bacterial small subunit ribosomal RNA
Source: RNAcentral